UAUAAUUUUACAACAUUUAUAUCAAUAGCAUAAACAUAAAUGUAACUGAAGGAAUAUCUAGUAUCACUUAUUUUACAAUGCUUCCCAUACAAUUUACCAAAUAAGCCUAAUUAUUUAAUAUAUCUAAAAGAUAAGAGACACAACUUUGAGGCUCUCCAGGGGCCCAGCUGGAAAAUCCCACUGUUAAUUUUAAGUAAAAAAUAUUUAGUUUCAGAUUUUGAUGAUGUGGGUGGGGGCAGGACCUGCCAAAGAUGUUAAAAAGUUCAAAACACCUGAUCAAAACAAAAUCACAGGUUACUGUAAAAUAAUAGCCAUUAAUUUAACCAGAGUGACAAAAGACUUCAAAAGCAAUACAGAAAGUUACAUGGAUGUAAAAACCUUAACCCUUUUAAAGCUCAGUUUUUCUAUGUAGUCCAAAACCUAAUAAAGACAAGAUAGGAAAUUAUCUUGAUAAAAUGUAAAAUCUUUGUUUUUUCAGGCCAGUUACCAAAACAUAAAGAAAAAUCUCUUGUAGUGUGAUUGCUUCUCCUUAUGGGAAGCCCAUUUAGAUAAUCUGGAAGUCAAUGCUGUUGAAAAGGGUACUUGAAUUUAAUCAGGCACAGGAAGAAUGUAUCUAGGGUUAAGAAUAUACAUUACAUUAUACAGGAAUGUAAACAAGAAAACUAAUACCUUGAGUGAGGGAGUACAUGGCUCUCACUAACAACAUAGGAAGUUUCCUGAUUACAUGGAACAAUUUAGGCACAUCAAUAAAAGCCAAGAGCACAGAAUUGGGUUAUACUGGAGGAACACACUGUGUUUCUAGGCCUUUAAGAUAAAUAUUUCAGUGCUUGCUUUGACAGCACAUAUACUAAAGUUGGAAUGAUACAGAGAAGAUUAGCAUGGCCAUAAGCUGCUAAAAAAUAAUAAUUUUUUUUAAAUUUCAGCAUCAGACUGUAACAGUAGAGUUGGAAGAAAAAAAAAGUUGCAGAAAUUGAUGAAUAGAUUGAAGGAGAAAGUUAUCACCUCAGCCAAGAAAAAAGAUACACCUCUUCAAAGGACGAAAGAACAAAGGGCAAGAUGUAUGACCUGCAAAUCACAUGUAGCAAGGUACAGCAAAAGUUGAACUUUUUCUUUUUUAAGUUAACAUUGAACUUCUAGGCUGGACAUGGUGGCUCAUACCUGUAAUCCUAGCACUUUGAGAGGCCAAGGCAGGUGGAUCACUGAGCCCAGGACUUCAAAACUAGCCUGGAUAAUAUAGGGAGACCCUGUCUUUACAAAAAAUGAAACAAAAAUUAGCUGGAUAUAGUGGCACACACCUGUAGUCCUAGCUACUCAGGAGGCUGAGAUGGAAGGAUUGCUUGAGCACACAAGGUUAAGGCUGCAGUGAGCUGUUACUCCAGCCUGGGUGACAGAGUGAGAACUUGUCUCAGAAAAAAAAAAAAAAAAAAAAAAGGCUGGGCGUGGUGGCUCACACCUGUAAUCCCAGCACUUUGGGAGGCCAAGGUGGGCUGAUCACUCAAGGCCAGGAAUUUGAGACCAGCCUGGCCAACAUGGCAAAACCCCGUCUCUACUAAAAAUACAAAAUUAGCUGCGCAUGGUGGCACUCACCUGUAGUCCCAGCUACUCAGGAGGCUGAGGGAGGAAAACCGCUUGAACCUGGGAGGCGGAGGUUGCAGUGAGCCAAGAUCCCGCCAUUGCACUCCAGCCUGGGUGACAGAGUGAGACUCCAUCUGAACAAAAAAAAAAAAAAAAAGUUGAGCUUCUGAAAUAUAAAUCUGAGAAGUUACAAAAAGAAAAAAUUUUACCUUGAGAAAUAAAAUUACUAGUCUCAAUGAAAAAGAUAGCAUCAGGCUGGGCACGGUGGCUCACGCCUGUAAUCCCAGCACUUUGGGA
Molecule: long non-coding RNA, 1872 nt
Filed under: Homo sapiens (human)
Lineage: Eukaryota; Metazoa; Chordata; Mammalia; Primates; Hominidae
Source: RNAcentral